RNAcentral lists this ribosomal RNA (595 nucleotides) under Leptodontidium sp. bc_besc_294c. RNAcentral's name for it is "eukaryotic LSU rRNA". The stretch from base 240 to 393 matches the Rfam family "5.8S ribosomal RNA". Lineage: Eukaryota; Fungi; Ascomycota; Leotiomycetes; Helotiales; Leptodontidiaceae. The record is from RNAcentral.
CAUUACUAGAGCAAAGGAUAGACAGCGCCCGCGGAGCUCGCUCCCGGGGCUACCCUACUCCCGUAGGGUUUAGAGUCGUCGGGCCUCUCGGAGAAGCUCGGUCCUGAACUCCACCCUUGAAUAAACUACCUUUGUUGCUUUGGCGGGCCGCCUCGUGCCAGCGGCUUCGGCUGUUGAGUGCCCGCCAGAGGACCCCAACUCUUGUUUUUAGUGAUGUCUGAGUACUAUAUAAUAGUUAAAACUUUCAACAACGGAUCUCUUGGUUCUGGCAUCGAUGAAGAACGCAGCGAAAUGCGAUAAGUAAUGUGAAUUGCAGAAUUCAGUGAAUCAUCGAAUCUUUGAACGCACAUUGCGCCCUCUGGUAUUCCGGGGGGCAUGCCUGUUCGAGCGUCAUUAUAACCACUCAAGCUCUCGCUUGGUAUUGGGGUUCGCGGUUUCGCGGCCCCUAAAAUCAGUGGCGGUGCCUGUCGGCUCUACGCGUAGUAAUACUCCUCGCGAUUGAGUCCGGUAGGUCUACUUGCCAGCAACCCCUAAUUUUUUUAAGGUUGACCUCGGAUCAGGUAGGGAUACCCGCUGAACUUAAGCAUAUCAAUAG